GAUGAAGAACGCAGCGAAAUGCGAUAAGUAAUGUGAAUUGCAGAAUUCAGUGAAUCAUCGAAUCUUUGAACGCACCUUGCGCCCUUUGGCCAUUCCGAAGGGCAUGCCUGUUUGAGUAUCAUGAACACCUCAACUCUCAUGGCUCGCCAUGAUGAGCUUGGACUUUGGGGGUCUUGCUGGCCUGUGGUCGGCUCCUAUCAAAUGGAUCAGCUUGCCAGUGUUUGGUGGCAUCACAGGUGUGAUAACUAUCUGCGCUUGUGGUUUUCCAUCAGAUAACCUUCAGUGAUGGAGGUUCGCUGGAGCUCAUAAACGUCUCCCCUAAGCGGGGACAGCCCUUUGAAUGUUUGAUCUCAAAUCAGGUAGGACUACCCGCUGAACUUAAGCAUAUCAAUAAGCGGAGGA
This 402-nucleotide unclassified non-coding RNA is filed under the name soil metagenome. RNAcentral's name for it is "partial contains 5.8S ribosomal RNA, internal transcribed spacer 2, and large subunit ribosomal RNA". The stretch from base 1 to 121 matches the Rfam family "5.8S ribosomal RNA", at positions 35 to 154 of the family's 154-position model. The record is from RNAcentral.